Molecule: long non-coding RNA, 1533 nt
Filed under: Anser brachyrhynchus (Pink-footed goose)
Lineage: Eukaryota; Metazoa; Chordata; Aves; Anseriformes; Anatidae
Description: lncRNA (ENSABRG00000006280.1)
Source: RNAcentral
CAGAGAUAUUAGCAAUUGCCAGUAUGAAAGCUCUGCUGUACAUUAAAGGAAAAUAUCAUUAGAGCAAACAAGAAGGUUCAGAGAAAAAUCCCCUCAUUCCUGUAGAGUCUUCAUGUCAUUACUGACUUCUGCCCUUUCUGUAAUUUCUGAAAUAAGCUCUCAGUUUUUGUUUCAGCCUUCAUCCAGGUUUCCUUGCUAUAGUAUUUAUUUUUGCAGGGGUAAUGCCUUAUCUUUUCAAUUUUCCAUCAGCAGAGAGCUACAAUCCUGCAUCCUGUUUCCUAAAAGCCUGGCUCAUUCAGCUUUCACAGCAGCAGGGUUUGAUGCUGUGGAUUCAAACAGCAGGCUGUACCCAUGUGUCCUGGAGAGAUGCUGCACAGCCUUUGAGGUCUAGAGAUGUCUCCUGCUCACUCCGCUGGACCACAGUGCCUUCAGUGUUGUUACUAAAAGCUGGAUGCACAUUCUUCAUUCCCAAUAGGUUUGUGAGCUUUGUAAAUGUCAGUAUCAUUUUUCUUUCUCUUGAUGCUGGUGUUUAACAAGUUAAGGCAAGACAAAGCAAGAUUCAAGGAAGCCAAACUGGAGCUGUUCUGAAAUUGUUAUAAGAAGUUGCUUCAUGCUGUUGAGCUUUGCACAACAAAAAAAAAAUUAGGAAAGUUGUCCUGAAAACUUACCUUUUUCCUCUAUAUUUUCCCCAUGUGGUUCUCUAGUCAUUACCAAAAGAGUUAUUUUAAUUAUUUUCUUCCAAGCUUCUGGUCCAGUUCACGUUUCACCUAGACUGCAAUGAAUCAGGAGGUGCUCUUCAGUGUUGAAGUGACAGAAGUAUAAAAUCUUUGUAGGGUGACACAUCUUUGACAGAGCAGUAUGUCAGGUAACAAACAAUGGGAGAAGGCACUUUGAAGUGUGGGAGAUGGGUCCAUUUGCAUGUCUGUCUCUGACAAAAAAAAAAGCUGGUGGAGCUUGCAUACUGAAAGAUAUCACUUUAAUUCCCCAGUCUUGCAAAGAGCAACUGUUCCUCAAAUUCUACUGAAUAUGGUAAUUUCUGCUUUUUUUUAGGGAGAUUUAGACAAUUUAGAUGAGUACUACGUGACUCUUCUUUUCUGAAGAGUGUUUAUGACAGAUGUGUUUAUUCCUGCCUGUUCCUUGUCCAUUUUCCUGGCUAGUCCCUCUACCCUCCAAAAAACAGCCACCUUGGAAGUAAUAUGUAUGUACCCAGUGAAGGGCAAAGUAGGGCUAUUUCAUGUCUUCAGAGACUUGUGUUGGUCUGCCAAGCGUGUGGAUUCAUCCCUUCCACUCCUGUUCCCUUAAAUCUAGCUAACUCUUUGGGAUUUUCUGAAGAUCAUAGAAUCGUAGAAUCAUUAAGGUUGGAAAAGACCUCCAAGAUCACUGAUACUCUGAUUUUGCACGUGGGGUGGAUCAAGCAAGGCAAACCACAUUCAGAAGCUGGAGUCCAGAUGAGGUGUGCCUAUAAAUGACUAUUUCUGAAAAACAACUAUUUCUGAAGUUGCUGUGCUCUGAAACGUUCUUAUCUGACUUGAA